UACGGGGGGGGUAAGCGUUGUUCGGAAUUACUGGGCGUAAAGGGCUCGUAGGCGGCCAACUAAGUCAGACGUGAAAUCCCUCAGCUUAACUGGGGAACUGCGUCUGAUACUGGAUGGCUUGGAUUCGGGAGAGGAAUGCGGAAUUCCAGGUGUAGCGGUGAAAUGCGCAGAUAUCAGGAAGAACACCCGUGGCGAAAGCGGCUCUCUGGAACGGUACUGACGCUGAGACGCGAAAGCGUGGGGAGCGAACAGG
This 253-nucleotide ribosomal RNA is filed under the name uncultured bacterium. RNAcentral's name for it is "partial 16S ribosomal RNA". It matches the Rfam family "Bacterial small subunit ribosomal RNA", at positions 524 to 776 of the family's 1533-position model. The record is from RNAcentral.